This 377-nucleotide ribosomal RNA is filed under the name uncultured bacterium. RNAcentral describes it as "bacterial SSU rRNA". It matches the Rfam family "Bacterial small subunit ribosomal RNA", at positions 524 to 898 of the family's 1533-position model. The record is from RNAcentral.
GACGAACCGUGCGAACGUUAUUCGGAAUCACUGGGCUUAAAGCGCGUGUAGGCGGACUGCCACGUCGGGCGCUGAAAUCCCCCGGCUCAACCGGGGAAUGGGCACCGAUACGAGCAGUCUUGAGGGGAGUAGGGGGACCUGGAACUUCCGGUGGAGCGGUGAAAUGCGUUGAGAUCGGAAGGAACGCCCGUGGCGAAAGCGAGGUCCUGGGCUUCUACUGACGCUGAGACGCGAAAGCCAGGGGAGCAAACGGGAUUAGAUACCCCGGUAGUCCUGGCUGUAAACGAUGGGCACUGGGUAGGGGGCUCGCCGAUGGGCUCCCUGCCGCAGGGAAACCGUGAAGUGCCCCGCCUGGGGAGUAUGGUCGCAAGGCUGAA